Long non-coding RNA from Telopea speciosissima, 338 nucleotides. RefSeq lists it as uncharacterized. NCBI's taxonomy places the organism in Eukaryota, Viridiplantae, Streptophyta, Magnoliopsida, Proteales, Proteaceae. The record is from RefSeq and is a predicted model, not a curated record. The transcript is spliced from 3 exons.
GUUGGUGGUUGUUUUAGUUUGUUUCUGGAAUUUAUUCCAUACAGUUUAUUAUCGUCAUUACAAAAAUAUACUAGCAAGUCUUGUAGCGGUGAGUUUAGAAAGACUUCUUUGUCAACUAGGGAAGUUUUAGCUGCUGAGAGUCUUGCAUUUUCUGGUAUCAUUUACAAUUAAAAAUAAAAAGCAAUUUAUUCUCUUCGAGUUUUGAAUUGAGUCUCUGCUGCCUUCAAUUCUUCCCAAGGUUCAAGCCCCUAGAAGCCUAGGUUGAUUGCUGGCAAGCCUAGAAGAGUCUUUAGUUGGAUCAGAAAAUUGAUUUUCGCUGGAGAGUUUAAAUCAUUCCA